Solenopsis invicta (red fire ant) is the source of this 3449-nucleotide long non-coding RNA. RefSeq lists it as uncharacterized. The record is from RefSeq and is a predicted model, not a curated record. NCBI's taxonomy places the organism in Eukaryota, Metazoa, Arthropoda, Insecta, Hymenoptera, Formicidae. The transcript is spliced from 2 exons.
GCGACGUUAGGAUCGAUCUGGUCGCUAGUUGUCACUGCACGCGCGAACGCGUCUCCCGAGCGCAUCGACCGUGUGCGUCGCCGAGGAGCGCCCCGGGGGCUAAGCUCCAUCUUGCCUUACGCCCGUCAAAUUGAAUCUUGAUACACUCGGUUGACCGCGGCUGUUGCCUCUAAUCCAACUCCUAUGGGACGAGAAUCUCAUCGUACCUCUCAUCGUACUAUGUAGCACGGAGGUCGAAAAUUUCUCAGGCGGCGGAUUUUGGUAUCUUCAGCUGCCUGCGCAUACACGGCACUUGCAGUACGUUCUAAAGUAUCGUCUAACGCGAGAGAGACAAAAAUUCGCGAUAUAAUGUCCCAAGAGAGGAUCUUGUUUAUCAAACAAAGAAAAAUAGUUUCGAAAUAGAUUUAAAAAUUUUAAAAACGUUAAUUUCCUAGCUCGAUUGUAGCAAGAGAAAGAUAAAAAAACGAGCACACAUAAAAAUGUUUUCAAUAGUACCAAAUUAAUAAUUUAUCUGAGAACUUUAGUAGAACGUAUCGAUUAUGCUUAAUCAUCCUCGGUCUUAUAAUAAUCUUGAUAAAUAUCAUUGCUUGAAAGAAAGAAUAAAAUUCGAUAAAUUUGAAAGAAUAAAAAUAGUAAUAAGUAACAAGCCACAUCCAGGUUAAAUAUAAAAUAUGUAACAUGUUUAAAAAUUGGUAACCAAGCUGCUUUGUUUGAAGUCUUCCAUGAUGAAGAAAAUUUUAAAAAUAAAUUAUUCCAAUAAAACUGUUUUCUUUGCUAAAAGCGAGAAAGAACGUAAUCAUGUAAAGCUAAAAAUCUCUGAUUAUGGAGUUGCCUAUAAAUUAAUGUCUCUCAAUUUUCUUUAUGUAAAAUUUACCCACGAAGAUUUAAUAUGUACGAUGUAUAUAUAUGAUGACUAUACCAGUGUCAAAUCAAGUUAAAGGGGCUUCUUACUCGCAACGCAUAUAAUGUUUCACUCAAAUUUACACAUCUGUAUAAAUAAUAGUAUUCGAUGUGCCAUCCCUGCAUAAUUAGGUAUUAUAUCUUCCCCAGGGAAAAUGUCUGCUCCAGAUCUCGAUUAAGGAAUUCAUCAGAAUGUAAUAAAUUAAGAAGAAUGAUGGUCCGAUGGUCUUGGAGAUAAAUCUCGCCAAACUUCGCCGUGGUAUGACUUAAUGUACCGAUCGCUGCGGUUACACGCGGAUUCCACGUGGAAUGUUCCAACGAAUGCAAAGGUGGUGUGUCCGCGUGUUGUUAGAUUGCAACGACCCGGGCAUCUUAAGCGCGCGAGUUUGUCUCGAACGUCUUCCGGGCCCUCUUCUCAAGGCUGUCGCUCCACCGUGGCUCGGUUCGGAUACCGUUAACCGGUGAGUUUUACCGGCCCGAAGACACGUAACCGUCUAAUAACAUUAAUAACGAGAAAUGCCUCGUAGGUGGCCGCGGACCGAGGGAGAUUUUCAUAGAUUGGUUCGAUCAGGGAAGAGUAUCGUGUGCCGUCGAAGUGUCAUUACGCGUAAGUACGGCAUGCAUCAUAUGAUUACGGCUGCGAUGUCAGGCAGUAAGGAAACGAUACUCCCAAGCGACUUCAAUUAAAUUACCCGUCGAUAUUGGCAACGGCGAAUAUUCAAUAUUCGCGCAGAGAUUGCAAGUUAUUAUCUCGACACGUACUUUACAGUGGGAGGAAUUACCUUUGUCGGAAAAGUCGGCGCCGCGCGAUCGAGUCCUCGCCGUUCCUCGAUUUUUCGACGGGUGGGUGAAAGCGCGCAAUUUUCUCCCACCUGCCGCGUAUCCCGAUCUCUUGCAUCGACUUUUCGAGGACAUCAAACAUUCAGAUAGGGGACAAGAAAAACUGGUAUUUAUGGCUUUUCAUUUACUUUUGCUAUACGGCACGUUAUGACGGAGAUUCCGGUCGUUCGUUCAAUCCCUUUGACGAAAAGCAAACGAAGAAGCAACCUGCUAACGCAAUACGGCAUAUUGCGCGGCGGCGGCUUCAAUGCAGCAGGUAACAACAAAGUCGCUUAACGUAAAGCGCUUGGGUAAAGGGAGGAAGUCGACGGCCACGACGAUGUGCAUUUAGCGGUCGGAAAGAGCAUUACCUAACACACGGCGCGAGAUUGGAUCUGCUUGCGCGGACGAGGACGAGGAAAAACGAGUGGAUGACUUCCUACAUAGAUAAAGAUCACCGUGGACGAGUAUCCUCUUUAACAGACGAGGUCAAGCCGGUCCUGUGCCCGGCAUUAUCCGAUUCCUUGAAUUAAUCGGAACAUUUGUCGAUGUGCCUUACCUGUAUCUCUCUUCGGAUGUAAUUCAAUAACAUUUCUCAAUGGCCGCGAAGCGAACAAAAAAAUCGAUAAAAAAAUCUGUCUAAUUUUACUUUUUUCCUCCCUUUGUGUAUUGACCUUACUCUUAACAUGUAUAAAGGAAAAAAGUAUAAUCGGAAAUGAUAGAAUGACCGAGUGCUCAUCCAUGAUUUGUAGCAUUUGAGCAGUUCACGCAUAUACACAGAGUUGUACUAUAUUUUGCAUGUUAAGUUAAAUAUGAAUAUUGCAAAUUUAGGUAAUUAAUUAGACGACUCAGCCACGGCAAGAAAUCGUAAAAUCUAGUAUCCAGGAUACAAGAAAUCGCUUCAAGAUCUCAGAGAAAAAAAUUGACCAAUCGCAUUCUUACAAUAUGAGCAACUGAUCAAUGUGAUUGGUUAGUUUCUUCUUCGUUUGAGAUCUCGGAGCGAUUUCUGGUAUCUCGGACACAAGGCUAACUUAACUGCUAUCGAGUGCAAUGUUCAAUGUUCCGAUGAACGUUAUUGCCACAUCGUGCCAUGCAAGGGCUUCAAUGAGCGCGCUGUCGCGGAAAGAAAGCAUCAAGACUGCCGGAAAGGGGAGGUAAAAAAAAGGGGGAGAGAAGGAAAUGUGGAGAGUGCAACAAACUGCGAAAUAUAAUAGGUCUGAGUUACGGCCGCGGCUGUGUGGUCCUGCUUUGACCCUCGGUCGCGCGAGGUAGUUAGCUUUGAGGCUUGACACGCGGUGCGUGACGUACGCAACACGGCCGAAGCCGCGGAGAAGAGCGAUGGUAGGUGGUGGUAUAAUGCGGCUUUCGCGAGCGCGAGGAGUCGCGUUUGUUCGCCCGACGAUGUUAACGCCAGAUCGGCUCGCGCUUUUAUUACCGUAAGAUACCUUAUCCGUGCCUCGCGCUAUCGCGAUGCGAUGCUGGUCGCUGAUCAACCUGCUGUUGCUGCUGCUGCUGCGUUUACGAGGGAACCUCUCGCUUGCACACCUAGAGGAUCUCUCAUCGCUUAAAUUAAGUUAUUUAACGGCGCACCGGAACACGAUGUUUAUUCUGUACUUAUACUCUGGACGAUAGUAACAGAUAAAUGUACGGAUUAGCAAAAAAAAUAUCAGGCUCUACAUAAUCUCUUAAUAAUAAAGAUAUAUCUAAAAUCAUAUUUACAAUAACAAAAA